This 540-nucleotide ribosomal RNA is filed under the name fungal endophyte. RNAcentral describes it as "eukaryotic LSU rRNA". It matches the Rfam family "Eukaryotic large subunit ribosomal RNA", at positions 87 to 648 of the family's 3401-position model. Lineage: Eukaryota; Fungi. The record is from RNAcentral.
CGGCGAAGUGAAGCGGCAACAGCUCAAAUUUGAAAUCUGGCCCCUAGGGUCCGAAGUUGUAAUUUGUAGAGGAUGCUUUUGGUGAGGUGCCGCCCGAGUUCCCUGGAACGGGACGCCACAGAGGGUGAGAGCCCCGUCUGGCUGGCCACCGAGCCUCUGUAAAGCUCCUUCGACGAGUCGAGUAGUUUGGGAAUGCUGCUCAAAAUGGGAGGUAUAUGUCUUCUAAAGCUAAAUAUUGGCCAGAGACCGAUAGCGCACAAGUAGAGUGAUCGAAAGAUGAAAAGCACCUUGAAAAGAGGGUUAAACAGUACGUGAAAUUGUUGAAAGGGAAGCGCUUGUGACCAGACUUGGGCGCGGCGAAUCAUCCGGGGUUCUCUCCGGUGCACUUCGCCGUGUUCAGGCCAGCAUCAGUUCGGCGCGGGGGAAAAAGGCUUCGGGAACGUGGCUGCUCCGGCAGUGUUAUAGCCCGUUGCAUAAUACCCUGCGCUGGACUGAGGACCGCGCAUCUGCAAGGAUGCUGGCGUAAUGGUCACCAGCGAC